AAAAGGAAUUUCAAUCGUGUUGAUAUUUGGCUCUGUUGACUAAUGAGUUUGCCGACCACUGUCCUAGUGUAUCCAGGUUCCGUACCAAGAACACAGUGUCACAGGCUGGGAGAGCAACAGGGAACACGACACACCACCCCGUUCAGGUGGCGAGCCGAUCCCAAGGAGGUGCAGGUACAAGCCCAAGUUAAGAAGAAAAGUGAUUCUGCUACAAGGCAGAAAGAACUUCUUGCUAAACCAGUUGUUAAAAAUAAGACAACAGGCCCCACAUGGAGCAACUUAUGGGAAGCCCCAUGUCACCAAAAGGAGACAAUCACACCUGCAGCCUCUCCCGGAAAUGGGAGGGUAAGCCAGUCAGUGAGGAGCAGCCUGGCCAGCGCUGUGAGGGCAUCUGUCAUCCCCCAGGAAAGCAUCCGGGGCACAGCCGUCCAAGCUCUGCUAGAGGACUUCCUUGUUCCCGCCUCCUUCUGCCCAGAGCAGUCUCUCAUUGGCACAGCCUUCGGAGCUCCCUUCUAUGGACUGGAUGGGAUGCUGCCAGAGCCAUGAAUCACCGAAUAAAGCCAAUAUCUUUAAAAUGUA
Long non-coding RNA from Myotis lucifugus (little brown bat), 579 nucleotides. RefSeq lists it as uncharacterized. The record is from RefSeq and is a predicted model, not a curated record. The transcript has 2 exons. Lineage: Eukaryota; Metazoa; Chordata; Mammalia; Chiroptera; Vespertilionidae.